Molecule: long non-coding RNA, 342 nt
Filed under: Erythranthe guttata (spotted monkey flower)
Lineage: Eukaryota; Viridiplantae; Streptophyta; Magnoliopsida; Lamiales; Phrymaceae
Description: long non-coding RNA (EGUT_LNC002796)
Source: RNAcentral
CUGGCGGUGGCGAAGGCAAACGAAUACUGGCGGUGGCGAAGGAAAACGAACACUGGCGGUGGCCAAGGAAAACGAACACUGACGGUGGCGAAGGAAAACGAACACUGACGGUGGCGAAGGAAAACGAACACUGGCGGCGGCGAAGGAAAACGAACACUAGCGACGGCGAAGGAAAACGAACACUAGCGGCGGCGAAGGAAAAUGAACACUAGCGGCGGCGAAGGAAAACGAACACUGGCGGUGCAACGAUGAUGGUGGACGCGAAAGGCAGAUCGAAGAGCAGAUCGUUCGGGUAAAGAAAAUGAGAAGGAAAGAGAAGGGAAUUUAUGAGAAAAAAAAAAA